Molecule: non-coding RNA, 90 nt
Organism: Caerostris extrusa
Lineage: Eukaryota; Metazoa; Arthropoda; Arachnida; Araneae; Araneidae
Source: the annotation of a GenBank genome assembly
ACGGCCGUACCAUGCUGAAUAUACCGGUUCUCGUUAGAUCACCGAAGUCAAGCAUCAUUGGGCGCGGUCAGUACUUGGGUGGGUGAACAC